CAUUAUGUCCGCGUUCUCUUUCCUCUCGGUCGGAAAGUCAAAGGAGAACCAGUUCUUACCGAACCCGAAUCCUAUAGAAUUAGAUCGAGAAUUCUUUCCCCCUCCCCAUGGAAAUCCACCCCAUAUAUGUCUCCUCCCUAGAAACCGUAGAUCCACGAGACCACGAUGAAGGAUUCAGUCGAGAGAUGCUCAUGAAAUCACGUCAAAGCCGAUUCGACCUGGCCGAGCUUCCCGGCGACCGAAUCAAUGGCCAGGUCACGCUGUCUGUAGCAGCGGCGGGAGGACCGUGGCGGCGCGGAGUUCCCGGUGGCAGUGGCGGCUCGAAGCUCGCUGGCGAGCGAUGGGAUGCAGAAACAGGGGGAAUCGGAAGAUCUUGCCUUCAGACUCAAUCGCGGAAUCGAUUAAGUCGAUGGCCUGGAGAGGAACUUGUGGCACGGCGGUGGGCCGGCAGUGACGACUGAAAGUGCUGGCGUUGCUGCCCAUGGAGCUUCGCCAACUUCAUGAGAAGCACUUGCGAGCCUGUUGGUGCUAGGCUUCUAUUCUAAUGAGGCUGAUGUAUCUACAUGUGCUCGCCAUGCUAGAUCCACAUGUCUGACCAGUGGCUGCUCACAUGCUGGCGGAGGCAAGGCCUUGCCGCAUCGUGUGCGCCUCUUCACUACAUAUCGUCCUCCAUGGAGGCGCCGUUAACUGUGCUAUACAGUUCCAUGGUUGCCUGGACGUUAUUGCUAUCAGUGUUUGCUCAUUCGUUAUCUGAUGUUGAUGUGCUCUUGCAUGUUGUCUCCGCGAAGGAGUGUCCCUGGGCGGUCGUGAUCCCCUGGUACAGUGAGAAGAACUGCUGGUUUGAUGAAGUUAAACUCAACUACAAAUCAUCUAUAUUGUGGUAGAAUUCAGAUGAAUUCAUCAGUUAUGACAUUUAAUUUUAUACUGUGAGCAGCAUUAGUUUCUUCUGAAGAAAUUUUAGUUGUGAAUAGUUUCAGAAUAGCUGUUGCAUUUGAGCUAUUUUAGAUGGCCACAUUUAUUUCGUGCACAAGAGUAAACUGUUGUAAUUUGUUACUUCAUGUUUGUGACAACAUUGAUUUAAAGAACAUGCUGAUCGGUCGGGCUGGAAUAGGGCUAAGGAGUUCAUCCACAUGUUUUACUCAGCGACAAUGGCAAUAGAGUCCUGGGCAAGAUAUGAUUUUCACUA
Lolium perenne is the source of this 1186-nucleotide long non-coding RNA. RefSeq lists it as uncharacterized. The record is from RefSeq and is a predicted model, not a curated record. NCBI's taxonomy places the organism in Eukaryota, Viridiplantae, Streptophyta, Magnoliopsida, Poales, Poaceae.